RNAcentral lists this ribosomal RNA (508 nucleotides) under uncultured bacterium. Its description in RNAcentral is "partial 16S ribosomal RNA". It matches the Rfam family "Bacterial small subunit ribosomal RNA", at positions 28 to 507 of the family's 1533-position model. The record is from RNAcentral.
GACGAACGCUGGCGGCGUGCCUAAUACAUGCAAGUCGAACGCUUCUUUCCUCCCGAGUGCUUGCACUCAAUUGGAAAGAGGAGUGGCGGACGGGUGAGUAACACGUGGGUAACCUACCCAUCAGAGGGGGAUAACACUUGGAAACAGGUGCUAAUACCGCAUAACAGUUUAUGCCGCAUGGCAUAAGAGUGAAAGGCGCUUUCGGGUGUCGCUGAUGGAUGGACCCGCGGUGCAUUAGCUAGUUGGUGAGGUAACGGCUCACCAAGGCCACGAUGCAUAGCCGACCUGAGAGGGUGAUCGGCCACACUGGGACUGAGACACGGACCAGACUCCUACGGGAGGCAGCAGUAGGGAAUCUUCGGCAAUGGACGAAAGUCUGACCGAGCAACGCCGCGUGAGUGAAGAAGGUUUUCGGAUCGUAAAACUCUGUUGUUAGAGAAGAACAAGGACGUUAGUAACUGAACGUCCCCUGACGGUAUCUAAACAGAAAGCCACGGCUAACUACGUG